AUUGAACGCUGGCGGCAGGCCUAACACAUGCAAGUCGAGCGGAUGAAGGGAGCUUGCUCCUGGAUUCAGCGGCGGACGGGUGAGUAAUGCCUAGGAAUCUGCCUGGUAGUGGGGGAUAACGUCCGGAAACGGGCGCUAAUACCGCAUACGUCCUGAGGGGGAAAGGGGGGGAUCUUCGGACCUCAGGCUAUCAGAUGAGCCUAGGUCGGUUUAGCUAGUUGUUGGGGUAAAGGCCUACCAAGGCGACGAUCCGUAACUGGUCUGAGAGGAUGAUCAGUCACACUGGAACUGAGACACGGUCCAGACUCCUACGGGAGGCAGCAGUGGGGAAUAUUGGACAAUGGGCGAAAGCCUGAUCCAGCCAUGCCGCGUGUGUGAAGAAGGUCUUCGGAUUGUAAAGCACUUUAAGUUGGGAGGAAGGGCAGUAAGUUAAUACCUUGCUGUUUUGACGUUACCAACAGAAUAAGCACCGGCUAACUUCGUG
This 484-nucleotide ribosomal RNA is filed under the name uncultured bacterium. Its description in RNAcentral is "partial 16S ribosomal RNA". It matches the Rfam family "Bacterial small subunit ribosomal RNA", at positions 30 to 507 of the family's 1533-position model. The record is from RNAcentral.